Molecule: ribosomal RNA, 253 nt
Filed under: Comamonadaceae bacterium
Lineage: Bacteria; Pseudomonadati; Pseudomonadota; Betaproteobacteria; Burkholderiales; Comamonadaceae
Description: partial 16S ribosomal RNA
Rfam family: Bacterial small subunit ribosomal RNA
Source: RNAcentral
UACGUAGGGUGCAAGCGUUAAUCGGAAUUACUGGGCGUAAAGCGUGCGCAGGCGGUUAUAUAAGACAGAUGUGAAAUCCCCGGGCUCAACCUGGGAACUGCAUUUGUGACUGUAUAGCUAAAGUACGGCAGAGGGGGAUGGAAUUCCGCGUGUAGCAGUGAAAUGCGUAGAUAUGCGGAGGAACACCGAUGGCGAAGGCAAUCCCCUGAGCCUGUACUGACGCUCAUGCACGAAAGCGUGGGGAGCAAACAGG